GGUUAAGCGACUAAGCGUACACGGUGGAUGCCCUGGCAGUCAGAGGCGAUGAAGGACGUGCUAAUCUGCGAUAAGCGUCGGUAAGGUGAUAUGAACCGUUAUAACCGGCGAUUUCCGAAUGGGGAAACCCAGUGUGUUUCGACACACUAUCAUUAACUGAAUCCAUAGGUUAAUGAGGCGAACCGGGGGAACUGAAACAUCUAAGUACCCCGAGGAAAAGAAAUCAACCGAGAUUCCCCCAGUAGCGGCGAGCGAACGGGGAGCAGCCCAGAGCCUGAAUCAGUGUGUGUGUUAGUGGAAGCGUCUGGAAAGGCGCGCGAUACAGGGUGACAGCCCCGUACACAAAAAUGCACAUGCUGUGAGCUCGAUGAGUAGGGCGGGACACGUGGUAUCCUGUCUGAAUAUGGGGGGACCAUCCUCCAAGGCUAAAUACUCCUGACUGACCGAUAGUGAACCAGUACCGUGAGGGAAAGGCGAAAAGAACCCCGGCGAGGGGAGUGAAAAAGAACCUGAAACCGUGUACGUACAAGCAGUGGGAGCACGCUUAGGCGUGUGACUGCGUACCUUUUGUAUAAUGGGUCAGCGACUUAUAUUCUGUAGCAAGGUUAACCGAAUAGGGGAGCCGAAGGGAAACCGAGUCUUAACUGGGCGUUAAGUUGCAGGGUAUAGACCCGAAACCCGGUGAUCUAGCCAUGGGCAGGUUGAAGGUUGGGUAACACUAACUGGAGGACCGAACCGACUAAUGUUGAAAAAUUAGCGGAUGACUUGUGGCUGGGGGUGAAAGGCCAAUCAAACCGGGAGAUAGCUGGUUCUCCCCGAAAGCUAUUUAGGUAGCGCCUCGUGAAUUCAUCUCCGGGGGUAGAGCACUGUUUCGGCAAGGGGGUCAUCCCGACUUACCAACCCGAUGCAAACUGCGAAUACCGGAGAAUGUUAUCACGGGAGACACACGGCGGGUGCUAACGUCCGUCGUGAAGAGGGAAACAACCCAGACCGCCAGCUAAGGUCCCAAAGUCAUGGUUAAGUGGGAAACGAUGUGGGAAGGCCCAGACAGCCAGGAUGUUGGCUUAGAAGCAGCCAUCAUUUAAAGAAAGCGUAAUAGCUCACUGGUCGAGUCGGCCUGCGCGGAAGAUGUAACGGGGCUAAACCAUGCACCGAAGCUGCGGCAGCGACGCUGAUGCGUUGUUGGGUAGGGGAGCGUUCUGUAAGCCUGCGAAGGUGUGCUGUGAGGCAUGCUGGAGGUAUCAGAAGUGCGAAUGCUGACAUAAGUAACGAUAAAGCGGGUGAAAAGCCCGCUCGCCGGAAGACCAAGGGUUCCUGUCCAACGUUAAUCGGGGCAGGGUGAGUCGACCCCUAAGGCGAGGCCGAAAGGCGUAGUCGAUGGGAAACAGGUUAAUAUUCCUGUACUUGGUGUUACUGCGAAGGGGGGACGGAGAAGGCUAUGUUGGCCGGGCGACGGUUGUCCCGGUUUAAGCGUGUAGGCUGGUUUUCCAGGCAAAUCCGGAAAAUCAAGGCUGAGGCGUGAUGACGAGGCACUACGGUGCUGAAGCAACAAAUGCCCUGCUUCCAGGAAAAGCCUCUAAGCAUCAGGUAACAUCAAAUCGUACCCCAAACCGACACAGGUGGUCAGGUAGAGAAUACCAAGGCGCUUGAGAGAACUCGGGUGAAGGAACUAGGCAAAAUGGUGCCGUAACUUCGGGAGAAGGCACGCUGAUAUGUAGG
This 1719-nucleotide ribosomal RNA is filed under the name Escherichia coli. Its description in RNAcentral is "partial 23S ribosomal RNA". It matches the Rfam family "Bacterial large subunit ribosomal RNA", at positions 1 to 1762 of the family's 2925-position model. The record is from RNAcentral. Lineage: Bacteria; Pseudomonadati; Pseudomonadota; Gammaproteobacteria; Enterobacterales; Enterobacteriaceae.